UACGUAGGGUGCAAGCGUUGUCCGGAAUUAUUGGGCGUAAAGAGCUCGUAGGCGGUCUGUCGCGUCUGCUGUGAAAACUCAGGGCUUAACCCUGAGCUUGCAGUGGGUACGGGCAGACUAGAGUGCGGUAGGGGAGACUGGAAUUCCUGGUGUAGCGGUGAAAUGCGCAGAUAUCAGGAGGAACACCGGUGGCGAAGGCGGGUCUCUGGGCCGUAACU
Molecule: ribosomal RNA, 218 nt
Filed under: uncultured bacterium
Lineage: Bacteria
Description: partial 16S ribosomal RNA
Rfam family: Bacterial small subunit ribosomal RNA
Source: RNAcentral